RNAcentral lists this ribosomal RNA (460 nucleotides) under uncultured bacterium. RNAcentral's name for it is "partial 16S ribosomal RNA". It matches the Rfam family "Bacterial small subunit ribosomal RNA", at positions 338 to 795 of the family's 1533-position model. The record is from RNAcentral.
CCUACGGGUGGCAGUAGUGAGGAAUAUUGGUCAAUGGACGAGAGUCUGAACCAGCCAAGUAGCGUGAAGGAUGACUGCCCUAUGGGUUGUAAACUUCUUUUAUAUGGAAAUAAAAUGUUCCACGUGUGGGAUUUUGUAUGUACCAUAUGAAUAAGGAUCGGCUAACUCCGUGCCAGCAGCCGCGGUAAUACGGAGGAUCCGAGCGUUAUCCGGAUUUAGUGGGUUUAAAGGGAGAGUAGGUGGAUUGUUAAGUCAUUUGUGAAAGUUUGCGGCUCAAACGUAAAAUUGCAGUUGAAACUGGCAGUCUUGAGUACAGUAGAGGUGGGCAGAAUUCGUGGUGUAGCGGUGAAAUGCUUAGAUAUCACGAAGAACUCCGAUUGCGAAGGCAGCUCACUGGACUGCAACUGACACUGAGGCUCGAAAGUGUGGGUAGCAAACAGGAUUAGAUACCCUUGUAGUC